AACGAGACCUUAACCUGCUAACUAGCCCGUAUUGCUUUGGCAGUACGCUGGCUUCUUAGAGGGACUAUCGGCUCAAGCCGAUGGAAGUUUGAGGCAAUAACAGGUUAACCUUUUCACAGGCCUGUAACAGUGGACCUCUUGAAAUAUUCUGCUAGUCCAACGACUUACCUCCGUAGGGGAAGCCCCCUAACUGUCGGGCGGAGGGGACCUGGAAACGGGUCUCGUCGUGGGCAACACUACCUGGAACAGGG
This 251-nucleotide ribosomal RNA is filed under the name Bionectriaceae sp. RNAcentral's name for it is "partial small subunit ribosomal RNA". The stretch from base 1 to 105 matches the Rfam family "Eukaryotic small subunit ribosomal RNA", at positions 1334 to 1461 of the family's 1831-position model. Lineage: Eukaryota; Fungi; Ascomycota; Sordariomycetes; Hypocreales; Bionectriaceae. The record is from RNAcentral.